CCAAUUGAUUGAUGGUGCUUGCACCUGAUUGAUUUUGGUCGCCAACGAGUGGCGGACGGGUGAGUAACACGUAGGUAACCUGCCCAGAAGCGGGGGACAACAUUUGGAAACAGAUGCUAAUACCGCAUAACAGCGUUGUUCGCAUGAACAACGCUUAAAAGAUGGCUUCUCGCUAUCACUUCUGGAUGGACCUGCGGUGCAUUAGCUUGUUGGUGGGGUAACGGCCUACCAAGGCGAUGAUGCAUAGCCGAGUUGAGAGACUGAUCGGCCACAAUGGGACUGAGACACGGCCCAUACUCCUACGGGAGGCAGCAGUAGGGAAUCUUCCACAAUGGGCGCAAGCCUGAUGGAGCAACACCGCGUGAGUGAAGAAGGGUUUCGGCUCGUAAAGCUCUGUUGUUAAAGAAGAACACGUAUGAGAGUAACUGUUCAUACGUUGACGGUAUUUAACCAGAAAGUCACGGCUAACUACGUGCCAGCAGCCGCGGUAAUACGUAGGUGGCAAGCGUUAUCCGGAUUUAUUGGGCGUAAAGAGAGUGCAGGCGGUUUUCUAAGUCUGAUGUGAAAGCCUUCGGCUUAACCGGAGAAGUGCAUCGGAAACUGGAUAACUUGAGUGCAGAAGAGGGUAGUGGAACUCCAUGUGUAGCGGUGGAAUGCGUAGAUAUAUGGAAGAACACCAGUGGCGAAGGCGGCUACCUGGUCUGCAACUGACGCUGAGACUCGAAAGCAUGGGUAGCGAACAGGAUUAGAUACCCUGGUAGUCCAUGCCGUAAACGAUGAGUGCUAGGUGUUGGAGGGUUUCCGCCCUUCAGUGCCGGAGCUAACGCAUUAAGCACUCCGCCUGGGGAGUACGACCGCAAGGUUGAAACUCAAAGGAAUUGACGGGGGCCCGCACAAGCGGUGGAGCAUGUGGUUUAAUUCGAAGCUACGCGAAGAACCUUACCAGGUCUUGACAUCUUGCGCCAACCCUAGAGAUAGGGCGUUUCCUUCGGGAACGCAAUGACAGGUGGUGCAUGGUCGUCGUCAGCUCGUGUCGUGAGAUGUUGGGUUAAGUCCCGCAACGAGCGCAACCCUUGUUACUAGUUGCCAGCAUUAAGUUGGGCACUCUAGUGAGACUGCCGGUGACAAACCGGAGGAAGGUGGGGACGACGUCAGAUCAUCAUGCCCCUUAUGACCUGGGCUACACACGUGCUACAAUGGACGGUACAACGAGUCGCGAACUCGCGAGGGCAAGCAAAUCUCUUAAAACCGUUCUCAGUUCGGACUGCAGGCUGCAACUCGCCUGCACGAAGUCGGAAUCGCUAGUAAUCGCGGAUCAGCAUGCCGCGGUGAAUACGUUCCCGGGCCUUGUACACACCGCCCGUCACACCAUGAGAGUUUGUAACACCCAAAGUCGGUGGGGUA
RNAcentral lists this ribosomal RNA (1404 nucleotides) under Limosilactobacillus fermentum. RNAcentral's name for it is "bacterial SSU rRNA". It matches the Rfam family "Bacterial small subunit ribosomal RNA", at positions 62 to 1437 of the family's 1533-position model. Lineage: Bacteria; Bacillati; Bacillota; Bacilli; Lactobacillales; Lactobacillaceae. The record is from RNAcentral.